This 253-nucleotide ribosomal RNA is filed under the name uncultured bacterium. RNAcentral describes it as "partial 16S ribosomal RNA". It matches the Rfam family "Bacterial small subunit ribosomal RNA", at positions 524 to 776 of the family's 1533-position model. The record is from RNAcentral.
UACGGAGGAUCCAAGCGUUAUCCGGAAUCAUUGGGUUUAAAGAGUCCGUAGGCGGCGCAGAAAGUAGGGUGUGAAAGCCCUCGGCUUAACCGAGGAAUUGCGCUCUAAACUACUGUGCUUGAGGAACCUAGAGGUGAGCGGAACUGAUGGUGGAGCGGUGAAAUGCGUUGAUAUCAUCAGGAACACCGGAGGCGAAGGCGGCUCACUGGGGGUUAUCUGACGCUGAGGGACGAAAGCCAGGGGAGCGAACGGG